RNAcentral lists this ribosomal RNA (429 nucleotides) under Actinomycetes bacterium. RNAcentral describes it as "Actinobacteria bacterium partial 16S ribosomal RNA". It matches the Rfam family "Bacterial small subunit ribosomal RNA", at positions 355 to 776 of the family's 1533-position model. Lineage: Bacteria; Bacillati; Actinomycetota; Actinomycetes. The record is from RNAcentral.
UAGGGAAUCUUCCGCAAUGGGCGAAAGCCUGACGGAGCAACGCCGCGUGAGUGAUGAAGGUCUUCGGAUCGUAAAACUCUGUUAUUAGGGAAGAACAAAUGUGUAAGUAACUAUGCACGUCUUGACGGUACCUAAUCAGAAAGCCACGGCUAACUACGUGCCAGCAGCCGCGGUAAUACGUAGGUGGCAAGCGUUAUCCGGAAUUAUUGGGCGUAAAGCGCGCGUAGGCGGUUUUUUAAGUCUGAUGUGAAAGCCCACGGCUCAACCGUGGAGGGUCAUUGGAAACUGGAAAGCUUGAGUGCAGAAGAGGAAAGUGGAAUUCCAGGUGUGGCGGUGAAAUGCGCAGAGAUAUGGAGGAACACCAGUGGCGAAGGCGACUUUCUGGUCUGUAACUGACGCUGAUGUGCGAAAGCGUGGGGAUCAAACAGG